This 771-nucleotide ribosomal RNA is filed under the name uncultured Neocallimastigales. RNAcentral describes it as "partial large subunit ribosomal RNA". It matches the Rfam family "Eukaryotic large subunit ribosomal RNA", at positions 18 to 640 of the family's 3401-position model. The record is from RNAcentral. Lineage: Eukaryota; Fungi; Neocallimastigomycota; Neocallimastigomycetes; Neocallimastigales.
UCAGACGAUGCGUCAUGCAUAUCAAUAAGCGGAGGAAAAGAAACUAACAAGGAUUCCCUCAGUAACGGCGAGUGAAGCGGGAAGAGCUCAAAUUUGAAAUCUUGAAAGGUCACCUUUCACGAAUUGUAGUUUAAAGAAGUGUUUUCUGUUACGAUCGUAAUAUAAGUUCUUUGGAAUAGGACAUCACAGAGGGUGAGAAUCCCGUCUAUGAUUGCGAUUUGUAGCUUUGUGAUACACUUUCAAAGAGUCGGGUUGUUUGGGAAUGCAGCCCAAAACGGGAGGUAAAUUUCUUCUAAGGCUAAAUAUUGGCGAGAGACCGAUAGCGAACAAGUACCGUGAGGGAAAGAUGAAAAGAACUUUGAAAAGAGAGUUAAAUAGUACGUGAAAUUGUCAAAAGGGAAGCGUUUAACACCAGUGUUGUUUUCUGAAAAUCAACCUCUGUUAGCUUUAUGCAUGUUUGUUUAGACCUAAUCAGCUAUCUUGCAUGUUCUAUUGUUUGCAGUGGUGCACUUUUCAGUUUACAGGUCAACAUCAGUUUUUUUUUACCGUAAAAAAGUUAAAGAAAGGUAGCUCAUGGCUCCGGUCGUGAGUGUUAUAGUCUUUUUCCUAUGCGGUAGGAGAGACUGAGGUCUGCAGUGUAGGCUAUUUGGCUAGAUACUCAGGUGCUAUGUGAUACCAUUUCAUAAACAACUUGUUGAUUAUGUUUUGUCUAUUGCAUACUCGCUUGUACUAUCAUACCUACGCUUAGGAUGUUGACUGAUAUGUAGUCGU